This 1283-nucleotide long non-coding RNA is filed under the name Cucumis sativus (cucumber). Its description in RNAcentral is "long non-coding RNA (CSAT_LNC002231)". Lineage: Eukaryota; Viridiplantae; Streptophyta; Magnoliopsida; Cucurbitales; Cucurbitaceae. The record is from RNAcentral.
UUCACCGUCCUCCACUGGAAUAAAACGAUUCUUAACGAGGAAGACAAAAUCCUUGCCUCGCUUGGAGGUCUUCUCCGGCGGAGAAGACGAGGACGAGAAGGAACGCCGGCGUAGCCGAAAACGGAGAGUUGCGCCUGAAGGAUGUUUCACGGUGUACGUCGGAGCAGAGAGGCAGAGAUUCGUGAUCAAAACAGAGUGUGCUAACCAUCCUCUGUUCCGAUCGCUGUUGGAGGAGGCGGAGGCGGAGUACGGAUACAACUGUCAAGCGCCGCUAUCGCUACCUUGCGAUGUUGAGAGUUUUUAUAGCGUAUUGAUGGAGAUGGAUGACGACAGCGCCGGUGAUCUCCGCCGUGGAUGUGGGUAUCCAACUCCGAAGAGAUUUGGAUAUAAUCUUCUCAGUCCACGAUCUUCAUCGCUGGUUGUAAAUUAAAUCAGUUUUCCACUUCAGAUUCUCUACUUCUCUCUCUUUUGAAUUUAAAAGUGGUUUUUUUAAUUUGUGUUGGUUGGUGGUUUUAGAUUUUAGGAUUAUGUGUUGUUGUUCUUGUUGCAAAAGGUGGUGUUAUGAAUGUGGUGUUUUGUUGUUGUAAGGGUUCGUCUUUUAAAAACCGAAUCGAUUUGGUUUUAAUUAAUCGAUCGGUUCGUUCUUUUAGCAAACUUAUAUAUACAUUAAAGUUGGAAUUUGUCUAAAAUCGAUUUAAACAAAUUUGUAUAAUUAGACCGAACAUAGCUCAAAGUUUGACAAUUCAUCUGAAAGGUAAAAAAAAACGAUACAAAUAUGUCCAAUCUAAAUUAAGCUAACAGUAAUUAACUAGAAUUUGUGGAACAAAAUUAGAAACCAUAUAAAAGGAACGAAUGCAUGAAUUUGUUUAGUCAUUGUCUAAUAAUUCUUAUUAAUUUGAACGAGAAGUUUUAAUUAAAGAACCAUAAAUAAAAUCUUAAUCAAACACAAAAAUUCAGCCAAAUAGGCACUAAAGGCCAAUGAUUAAGCAUAAAUUUGAUGAUUAGGCUAAGAGCCAUAUCAAGGGGCAAUGGAAAAAUAAAAGGUUUUAAUUAAGAGAUCAAAUAGGCCUUAAAUGGAGGUAACCUACUUACAAUUUUCUUGAAAUUAAAAUAUAACAAAGUCAAAUAGAAGCUAACAAUUUUGCAUCGUUAGAUGUAUUAUAGCGAAACUAUAAAAAUAUUUGAAUGUUUUAUAUAUUUAGAUGUAAACUAUUGGACAAAUACGAUGACUUUGUAUAAUCGAUUAUUUAAAAGCAUGCAACAUUUAAAACAGUACACAUGAG